Long non-coding RNA from Lactuca sativa (garden lettuce), 720 nucleotides. RefSeq lists it as uncharacterized. The record is from RefSeq and is a predicted model, not a curated record. NCBI's taxonomy places the organism in Eukaryota, Viridiplantae, Streptophyta, Magnoliopsida, Asterales, Asteraceae.
AAAAUAAAUAAAUAAAUAAAAUAAAAUAAAAGAGAGUGAUCGACGCUUUCCUCCUUAUGCUUACAAACGGACAUAAGACGCAAGAAAUUGGGACUCCAUGAUCUCGCAAGUUGGGUAAAAGAGGGAAUCUAUUUUGCUUCGUUCUGGUCGGACCAAUGGUAUUGCUGGCUGCUGUUUUGUUUGAGGUUCCGGCUCCGGCGCCGGAGAGAAGCUGUCGAUGAACUUCUCAGCGUUAUUAAGGAGAAAGACGAGUGCAUUGCGUCUCGAUCCAAUCGAAAUUUUCCAUAAUUUCUGACAUUUUUUGAAUCUGGGGUUUGAACGUAUGGCAUCAGUUUGGAGUCCAUCUAUGAUGGAAACUCACAUGAGGUGCUAGUUGAAUAGGAGGGAAUGGGAGGCAACAAGAGGUAAGUUUCUAUGGAUAAAAACAUUAACUUCAUGCUCUAAGAAUUGGUCAUGGAGGCUCCAUAAAUCUUCAAACUUUGUUUUAUUUCUUUCUAAGUUUUUUUUGACAGGUAUACACAAAUCUAAAAUACCCUUCACUUACAAAUGUGGACUUUGGAUUAAUACUAUUCAUAGUUUGAAUCUGUAUUAAAGUGCAGUGAGGUAAUAUAAUUCCCAAAGUUCCUUAGUUGUUGCAACUUUACAAAUAGACAUUGUAAUUCGCCAAGUUUAGGGUGGUUAAGUAGAAGAACAUAGGAGUCGGUGUUUCAUUCGAUCCAA